Molecule: ribosomal RNA, 484 nt
Filed under: uncultured bacterium
Lineage: Bacteria
Description: partial 16S ribosomal RNA
Rfam family: Bacterial small subunit ribosomal RNA
Source: RNAcentral
AUUGAACGCUGGCGGCAGGCCUAACACAUGCAAGUCGAGCGGAUGAAGGGAGCUUGCUCCUGGAUUCAGCGGCGGACGGGUGAGUAAUGCCUAGGAAUCUGCCUGGUAGUGGGGGAUAACGUCCGGAAACGGGCGCUAAUACCGCAUACGUCCUGAGGGAGAAAGUGGGGGAUCUUCGGACCUCACGCUAUCAGAUGAGCCUAGGUCGGAUUAGCUAGUUGGUGGGGUAAAGGCCUACCAAGGCGACGAUCCGUAACUGGUCUGAGAGGAUGAUCAGUCACACUGGAACUGAGACACGGUCCAGACUCCUACGGGAGGCAGCAGUGGGGAAUAUUGGACAAUGGGCGAAAGCCUGAUCCAGCCAUGCCGCGUGUGUGAAGAAGGUCUUCGGAUUGUAAAGCACUUUAAGUUGGGAGGAAGGGAAGUAAGUGAAUACCUUGCUGUUUUGACGUUACCAACAGAAUAAGCACCGGCUAACUUCGUG